Molecule: RNase P RNA, 343 nt
Filed under: Candidatus Pelagibacteraceae bacterium
Lineage: Bacteria; Pseudomonadati; Pseudomonadota; Alphaproteobacteria; Candidatus Pelagibacterales; Candidatus Pelagibacteraceae
Description: RNase P RNA component class A
Rfam family: Bacterial RNase P class A
About the family: Ribonuclease P (RNase P) is a ubiquitous endoribonuclease, found in archaea, bacteria and eukarya as well as chloroplasts and mitochondria.
Source: RNAcentral
AUAGAUGGUGCGAUGAUCGCUUGAGUAAUCAAGAGGAAAGUCCGGGCUCCACUGGAAAAAAAACCAGGUAACACCUGGCAAGUGAAAGCUUAGGGAAAGUGCAACAGAAAAUAUACCGCCUGAAAAGGUAAGGGUGAAAAGGUAAGGUAAGAGCUUACCGCUUUUUUGGUAACAAAAAAGGCUUUGCAAACCCUUUUUGGAGCAAGGUCAAAUAGGAAUAGCAAUCAGUUCCAGCUGAGCUAUUUGGGUAGACUGCUUGAAACAAAUGGUGACAUUUGUUCUAGAUUAAUGAUCAUCAAUUUUUAUUAAAUUACAGAACCCGGCUUAUGCACCAUCUUUAUAU